GAAGAGGGCAAAGAUGGUGGUCCCAGGACUCCUAAGGUGAAGCUGAGAGAGCCAAUUAGGAUCCAGAGAACGGCUAGGAAGCAGGAUUGACCCAGAUGUGGAAACUAGAUGAACCCCUUCCCCACAAAUACACCAAGGGAAGGUGACAUUUGAAAAGGUGAAAAUCCUAGAAUGGCAGAGGGAAGAAAUCCUCUUUCUGUAAUUCCAGAAGAAGUAAGCGUUUCUAUCCUCGAUGGAACUGACUUAUUUCCCCCAGUUCCACAGUGGGAGCCAUUUUCAAGGAUGCGGCCUUGAGUGAGCAAUGUGUUGCUGAGACCAUCUGGAGUGAAUAUGUGACUGAACCCAGGGAAGGCCUCUGCAUAGACUGUUAAGAUUCUGGCAGGCAGAUGCAGAGAUCCACUUGUCUUACGGCCGCCCAGGACAAGCCUCGUAUAUUACCAAAGGGAUGAAUCUCUAUCCUGUGAAGAGCAUAGCUGCCGAUCAUGCCAAAACUGGAGCCAUCUUAAUGUGAACAACAGCUUUCCUCCCCAUAAUGACCGUGCCAGCCAUUGAGCCACCCAGGAGGAUCUGGGGAGCCCCAAGUCUUCAAAGCAGAAACAAAAGGGAAGACUUGUCCGAGAUUACCUUAGUCAUAAGCAGCUAAUUAUAAUAUUAAUUUGCAUAAUACCCUCCCUUUUAGCAGUGAUUUCAAUGCGAAAACCAAGUGGUAUUAAUGAAAAAAAAAUAGUUUCCAGCUGCCUAAGCCCAGAGGCUAAUCCAGGAAUUGAUGCCCUUGCAACAAUGACCAUAAGAUCUCCUUGUGGGCAGAGCCUCUGAAGGCCUGUUUGGGCAGCUAACCCUUCUUUUGAGCGCUCUUUUUUACCUUCAGUGGUUGAGACUGAGGUCUUAAAACUGCUCCUGCCAAUGACAACCAAAGUUACCUGCCAGAGCAGAAAGAAACAAAAGAAAAGGAAAAUCUUAAAUUAUGCGUUCCCUUCUUUAGAAUGGGCCUGUGGUUGGGGGCUGGCAUGUGGGCAUCAGUGGAAGAAAUUGGAGAAGGUGGAAGUGUUCAUGUGAAAAAAAAUGGUUCAACAAUUUCUUAUAAAGUUAAACCCUAUGACUCAGCAAAUCUACUCCUGGGUAUGUACCUAUGAGAAAUGAAGCAUAUGUUCACCAAAAGACUUGUAAAAGAAUGUUCGGAGCACUUUAUUUUUCAUAGCCUCAAACUGAAAACAAACCGAAUGUCCAUUACCAGGAGGGUGGAAGAACAUACUGUGGAAUAUUUACGUAAUAAACUAAUAAAAUACAGACAUACACAACUUGGAUGAGCUUUGAAAACAUUAUAUUGAGUGAAAGAAUUCAGAUGCAAAAUAAUUCAUACUGUAUGAUUCCAUUUGCGUGAAGCUCCAGAACAUUCAAGGCUAAUCUAUGGUCAUAGAAAUUAGAACAGUGGUUGCCUCUCGGCAGUGGUGGUAGGAUUGACUGGAAGGGGCAUGAGGGAAAUUUAUGUGGUGCUGGAAAAUUUUAUAUAUCUUGACCAGUGUUAUGGUUACAUGGAUAUAUACGUUUGUUGAAACUCAGCAAAUAGACACUUAAAGCCUAUGCAUUUUAUUUUAUGUAAAUUAUCUCAAAUUGGAAAGAGAAAAAAAUUCAAAUUUUUAUAUUGUUCAUGUUCCUAACUGAUUAAUGUGGCAGCAGUUGGCUCAUUAGCAGAUUGUUGCAGUGUGGAAAAAUUUUGUUCUCAACCCAAUGGUUUGUUUAACUGUGCUCACCGGGAACUCUUAAUCCAUCAAAAGGAUUUUAAGAUCCUAAUAAUUAGUUUUAGCACUGCAAGAGGACAGACAGACACAAUUCACCUUUUUGCCAGGAUUGACAGAUGCUAUUUUGAUAAGCACAGGAACCAUCAGUUCAACUAACCAGCCGUUAGACCAAAGUUGAGUUUAGGUGAGUGGAACCUUCUAAUUUGUUGAGAGCUGACAGGCUGACAGUAAUACACAAACUUUUUCUUGACUCUUCUUCUGUACUAUUUCUACAUCUAAAAUGAUGGCAGACUUAAAUGUGUCUCCACUACACUGUGUGUUUUGCUUCUGCAAGUCACGUCUGGUAGGAACUACCCAGGGCGUUCGGUCCCACCUUGAGCAGAUAUGGUCAGCUAGUCAUCCUCUUAGAGGCAUGAGAAUUAAGGAAAUCCAGGAAUACAAAAGUAGAGGUGUCAGCAAGCUCCAGCUGUGUUUAAAUUCCAGGUUUGUGAGUCUGUGAGUCUCUGGAACCUAAGAGGAGACCUGAAGAUACACACUUAUUCUGUGGACAUGACUGUAACACAAGAGUGGUUUCUCUUUAACACUUAAAAAUGUUUCCAUUUCCUUAUUUAAUAUUUGGCUACAUUUGUCACAGAAAUAAAGUUAUAUAUUUGGAAACUGUAUUGGGCUCUGUAAGAUUUGCUAGGUUAUUUUCUUUUCUGUUUAUUUCAUAAAACCAUUCAUUAGUCUGUUCAGGAGUUCCAUUUGGAAUUGCAGGUGUGAGUUGAAAGCCAGACAUAAACUAAAUUACAGCAUAUACAAAAUGGAUGCCUUACAAGUGGAAAAUGCAUAUUUUCAGCUGACCUGCUCUUCAAGUAACAAUAUGUGAGAGCAAAAUAUUUAGUGUAGACUAUGUAAUAGCCAUCUUCUUAUUUUUAUAAAGCUCCAAAAUUGUAAUCAAAGAGCAUGGAUGAGUUUGAGUAGCAGAGAAAGAGGAAAGGAAGGAAAAUUUGAUCUAGAAGGCAGUUCAUUGAGAAAUAGGUGGGAAGCUUGUGGCAUCUCAGAUGAGCUGUCCUUGCUGGGGUAGAUGGGAGGGUGGGGAGG
Molecule: long non-coding RNA, 2822 nt
Organism: Equus asinus (donkey)
Lineage: Eukaryota; Metazoa; Chordata; Mammalia; Perissodactyla; Equidae
Source: Ensembl